This 325-nucleotide ribosomal RNA is filed under the name uncultured eukaryote. RNAcentral describes it as "partial 18S ribosomal RNA". It matches the Rfam family "Eukaryotic small subunit ribosomal RNA", at positions 1470 to 1796 of the family's 1831-position model. The record is from RNAcentral.
CCCUUAGAUGUUCUGGGCCGCACGCGCGCUACACUGAUGCAUUCAACGAGCCUAUCCUUGACCGACAGGUCCGGGUAAUCUUUGAAUCUGCAUCGUGACGGGGAUAGAUUAUUGCAAUUAUUAAUCUUCAACGAGGAAUGCCUAGUAGGCGCAAGUCAUCAGCUUGCGUCGAUUACGUCCCUGCCCUUUGUACACACCGCCCGUCGCUCCUACCGAUUGGGUGUGCUGGUGAAAUGUUCGGAUCGGCCGUUUGUCUCGGUUUCCGCAUCAUGUGGCUGAGAAGUUCAUUAAACCCUCCCACCUAGAGGAAGGAGAAGUCGUAACA